AGAGUUCGAUCAUGGCUCAGGAUGAACGCUAGCGACAGGCUUAACACAUGCAAGUCGAGGGGCAGCACAGGUAGCAAUACCGGGUGGCGACCGGCGCACGGGUGAGUAACACGUAUCCAACCUGCCGUCUACUCUUGGACAGCUUUCUGAAAGGAAGAUUAAUACAAGAUGGCAUCAUGAGUUCGCAUGUUCACAUGAUUAAAGGUAUUCCGGUAGACGAUGGGGAUGCGUUCCAUUAGAUAGUAGGCGGGGUAACGGCCCACCUAGUCUUCGAUGGAUAGGGGUUCUGAGAGGAAGGUCCCCCACAUUGGAACUGAGACACGGUCCAA
This 329-nucleotide ribosomal RNA is filed under the name uncultured bacterium. RNAcentral describes it as "bacterial SSU rRNA". It matches the Rfam family "Bacterial small subunit ribosomal RNA", at positions 8 to 334 of the family's 1533-position model. The record is from RNAcentral.